CCUACGGGAGGCAGCAGUAAGGAAUAUUGGUCAAUGGGCGAGAGCCUGAACCAGCCAUGCCGCGUGCAGGAAGACAGCCCUCUGGGUCGUAAACUGCUUUUAUUCGGGAAUAAACCUACUUACGUGUAAGUAGCUGAAUGUACCGAAGGAAUAAGGAUCGGCUAACUCCGUGCCAGCAGCCGCGGUAAUACGGAGGAUCCAAGCGUUAUCCGGAUUUAUUGGGUUUAAAGGGUGCGUAGGCGGCCUGUUAAGUCAGGGGUGAAAGACGGUAGCUCAACUAUCGCAGUGCCCUUGAUACUGAUGGGCUUGAAUGAACUAGAGGUAGGCGGAAUGUGACAAGUAGCGGUGAAAUGCAUAGAUAUGUCACAGAACACCGAUUGCGAAGGCAGCUUACUAUGGUUUUAUUGUACGCUGAGGCACGAAAGCGUGGGGAUCAAACAGGAUUAGAUACCCUGGUAGUCCACGCCCUAAACGAUGAACACUCGCUGUUGGCGAUACACAGUCAGCGGCUAAGCGAAAGCGUUAAGUGUUCCACCUGGGAGUAACGCCGCAGGUUGAAACUUCAAAUGAAUUGACGGNGNGAGAGNGCGAGACGACGACGAGGGAGAGG
Molecule: ribosomal RNA, 610 nt
Filed under: uncultured bacterium
Lineage: Bacteria
Description: bacterial SSU rRNA
Rfam family: Bacterial small subunit ribosomal RNA
Source: RNAcentral